Molecule: ribosomal RNA, 494 nt
Filed under: uncultured Pseudomonadota bacterium
Lineage: Bacteria; Pseudomonadati; Pseudomonadota
Description: bacterial SSU rRNA
Rfam family: Bacterial small subunit ribosomal RNA
Source: RNAcentral
UGGGGAAUCUUGCGCAAUGGGCGAAAGCCUGACGCAGCCAUGCCGCGUGAAUGAUGAAGGUCUUAGGAUUGUAAAAUUCUUUCACCGGGGACGAUAAUGACGGUACCCGGAGAAGAAGCCCCGGCUAACUUCGUGCCAGCAGCCGCGGUAAUACGAAGGGGGCUAGCGUUGCUCGGAAUUACUGGGCGUAAAGGGCGCGUAGGCGGACAGUUUAGUCAGAGGUGAAAGCCCAGGGCUCAACCUUGGAAUUGCCUUUGAUACUGGCUGUCUUGAGUACGGGAGAGGUGUGUGGAACUCCGAGUGUAGAGGUGAAAUUCGUAGAUAUUCGGAAGAACACCAGUGGCGAAGGCGACACACUGGCCCGUUACUGACGCUGAGGCGCGAAAGCGUGGGGAGCAAACAGGAUUAGAUACCCUGGUAGUCCACGCCGUAAACGAUGAGUGCUAGUUGUCGGCAGGCAUGCCUGUCGGUGACGCAGCUAACGCAUUAAGCAC